CCCCAUGGAUUCAGAUUCCGUGUAACAGAAAGGGCUGACCUCUCAAGAGACUCAAAGAAGCCCAUGCAUUCUGGUUGGAAUCGGUGCCUUCAGUCUCCAGCUGUGAAGUUGGGAAAACUGAAAGGCUCAUUGCUCAUCUGAGAAGAAAAAACAAUUUGCCCAGUCCACGCCCAAACCGGAGGAAUGCAUGAAAGGUCAAACAUCACUUGAAGGCCUCCAGGAG
Non-coding RNA from Pseudonaja textilis, 223 nucleotides. Lineage: Eukaryota; Metazoa; Chordata; Lepidosauria; Squamata; Elapidae. The record is from RefSeq and is a predicted model, not a curated record.